RNAcentral lists this ribosomal RNA (375 nucleotides) under uncultured eukaryote. RNAcentral's name for it is "partial 18S ribosomal RNA". It matches the Rfam family "Eukaryotic small subunit ribosomal RNA", at positions 592 to 976 of the family's 1831-position model. The record is from RNAcentral.
CAAGGGCGUAUAUUAAUGUUGUUGCAGUUAAAAAGCUCGUAGUUGGAUUUCGGUUAAGAGCGACCGGUCCGCCGUUUGGUGUGCACUGGUUGGUUUUAACUUCCUGUAGAGGACGUGCUCUGGGUUUAACGACCUGGACUCGGAGUCUACGUGGUUACUUUGAAAAAAUUAGAGUGUUCAAAGCGGGCUUACGCUUGAAUAUUUCAGCAUGGAAUAACACUAUAGGACUCCUGUCCUAUUUCGUUGGUCUCGGGACGGGAGUAAUGAUUAAGAGGAACAGUUGGGGGCAUUCGUAUUUCAUUGUCAGAGGUGAAAUUCUUGGAUUUAUGAAAGACGAACUUCUGCGAAAGCAUUUGCCAAGGAUGUUUUCAUUAA